GAUGAACGCUGGCGGCGUGCCUAAUACAUGCAAGUCGAGCGAACAGACGAGGAGCUUGCUCCUCUGACGUUAGCGGCGGACGGGUGAGUAACACGUGGAUAACCUACCUAUAAGACUGGGAUAACUUCGGGAAACAGGAGCUAAUACCGGAUAAUAUAUUGAACCGCAUGGAUCAAUAGUGAAAGACGGUUUUGCUGUCACUAAUAGAUGGAUCCGCGCCGCAUUAGCUAGUUGGUAAGGUAACGGCUUACCAAGGCAACGAUGCGUAGCCGACCUGAGAGGGUGAUCGGCCACACUGGAACUGAGACACGGUCCAGACUCCUACGGGAGGCAGCAGUAGGGAAUCUUCCGCAAUGGGCGAAAGCCUGACGGAGCAACGCCGCGUGAGUGAUGAAGGUCUUCGGAUCGUAAAACUCUUUUAUUAGGGAAGAACAAAUGCGUAAGUAUCUCUGCACGUCUUGACGGUACCUAAUCAGAAAGCCCCGGCUAACUUCGUG
Molecule: ribosomal RNA, 497 nt
Filed under: uncultured bacterium
Lineage: Bacteria
Description: partial 16S ribosomal RNA
Rfam family: Bacterial small subunit ribosomal RNA
Source: RNAcentral